GUCCACAACCAAUGGUGCUGCCAGGAGGGCGGCGAUUCUUCGAAAUGAUUCGCUAUUUCUUGCUGGGCAUCUUGCAUCUUUGCACAAGUUCUUCUCUUCCGCUGAACGAACG
RNAcentral lists this non-coding RNA (112 nucleotides) under Bigelowiella longifila. Lineage: Eukaryota; Cercozoa; Chlorarachniophyceae. The record is from RNAcentral.